UACGGAGGGAGCUAGCGUUGUUCGGAAUUACUGGGCGUAAAGCGCACGUAGGCGGCUUUGUAAGUUAGAGGUGAAAGCCUGGGGCUCAACUCCAGAACUGCCUUUAAAACUGCAUCGCUUGAAUCCAGGAGAGGUGAGUGGAAUUCCGAGUGUAGAGGUGAAAUUCGUAGAUAUUCGGAAGAACACCAGUGGCGAAGGCGGCUCACUGGACUGGUAUUGACGCUGAGGCGCGAAAGCGUGGGGAGCAAACAGG
Molecule: ribosomal RNA, 253 nt
Filed under: uncultured bacterium
Lineage: Bacteria
Description: partial 16S ribosomal RNA
Rfam family: Bacterial small subunit ribosomal RNA
Source: RNAcentral